Non-coding RNA from Bos taurus (domestic cattle), 46 nucleotides. Lineage: Eukaryota; Metazoa; Chordata; Mammalia; Artiodactyla; Bovidae. The record is from Rfam.
UUAUAGGUUUUAUUUAAAACCACAUAAAGUAAUAUAAACAAAUGAU